Molecule: ribosomal RNA, 39 nt
Filed under: Dioszegia hungarica
Lineage: Eukaryota; Fungi; Basidiomycota; Tremellomycetes; Tremellales; Bulleribasidiaceae
Also listed under: 5 other names
Description: partial 26S rRNA
Source: RNAcentral
UCUGACCUCAAAUCAGGUAGGACUACCCGCUGAACUUAA